RNAcentral lists this non-coding RNA (164 nucleotides) under uncultured Enterococcus sp. Lineage: Bacteria; Bacillati; Bacillota; Bacilli; Lactobacillales; Enterococcaceae. The record is from RNAcentral.
UUCGUGAGGAUGUGGCUGAAGGAAGCGUGUAUCAAAUUCUUGGCUCGACGAACAGAAAUCUGAUACCAAGGCUCGGUAAGUGGAUGGUUCCCUAACAAACCAAAGUCCAAAAGAUGUGCGUAAACUUAUCGGGUAAAUCAGGCGAGUAAAAGAGGAAAGUUAGU